UUAGGAAUUUUGGGCAAUGGGGGAAACCCUGACCCAGCAACGCCGCGUGGGGGGAUGACGGCCUUCGGGUUGUAAACCCCUUUUCCCAGGGAAGAUUGUGACGGUACCUGGGGAAGAAGUCCCGGCUAACUACGUGCCAGCAGCCGCGGUAAUACGUAGGGGGCAAGCGUUGUCCGGAUUUAUUGGGCGUAAAGCGCGCCCAGGCGGCUCGCCAAGUCGGUCGUGUAAUCUCUCGGCUCAACCGGGAGGGGUCGGGCGAAACUGGCGAGCUUGAGGUCGGUAGGGGAAAGCGGAAUUCCCGGUGUAGUGGUGGAAUGCGUAGAUAUCGGGAGGAACACCAGUGGCGAAGGCGGCUUUCUGGACCGAAACUGACGCUGAGGCGCGAAAGCGUGGGGAGCGAUCCGGAUUAGAUACCCGGGUAGUCCACGCCCUAAAACGUUGAGGACUAGGUGUCGGGGGUAUCGACCCCUCGGUGCCGGGAGCUACGCAUUAAGUCCUCCGCCUGGGGACUACGGCCGCAAGGCUAAAACUCAAACUGAAUUGACGGGGGAGAGUC
RNAcentral lists this ribosomal RNA (556 nucleotides) under uncultured bacterium. RNAcentral's name for it is "bacterial SSU rRNA". It matches the Rfam family "Bacterial small subunit ribosomal RNA", at positions 355 to 925 of the family's 1533-position model. The record is from RNAcentral.